GACGAAGGACCCAAGCGUUAUCCGGAUUCAUUGGGCGUAAAGGGUGCGUAGGCGGCGGAGUAAGUUGGGUGUGAAAUCCCGGGGCUCAACCUCGGAAUUGCAUUCAAUACUGCUUCGCUCGAGUACUGGAGAGGAGGCUGGAAUUUACGGUGUAGCAGUGAAAUGCGUAGAUAUCGUAAGGAAGGCCGGUGGCGAAAGCGAGCCUCUGGACAGUUACUGACGCUGAUGCACGAAGGCCAGGGGAGCAAACGGG
RNAcentral lists this ribosomal RNA (253 nucleotides) under uncultured bacterium. Its description in RNAcentral is "partial 16S ribosomal RNA". It matches the Rfam family "Bacterial small subunit ribosomal RNA", at positions 524 to 776 of the family's 1533-position model. The record is from RNAcentral.